RNAcentral lists this unclassified non-coding RNA (20 nucleotides) under Mus musculus (house mouse). Its description in RNAcentral is "oocyte_clustered_small_RNA13858". Lineage: Eukaryota; Metazoa; Chordata; Mammalia; Rodentia; Muridae. The record is from RNAcentral.
UCUGCUCCGACUUCUUCGAU